RNAcentral lists this ribosomal RNA (451 nucleotides) under uncultured bacterium. Its description in RNAcentral is "partial 16S ribosomal RNA". It matches the Rfam family "Bacterial small subunit ribosomal RNA", at positions 354 to 796 of the family's 1533-position model. The record is from RNAcentral.
GUGGGGAAUAUUGGACAAUGGGGGGAACCCUGAUCCAGCCAUGCCGCGUGUGUGAAGAAGGCCUUUUGGUUGUAAAGCACUUUAAGCGAGGAGGAGGCUACCGAGAUUAAUACUCUUGGAUAGUGGACGUUACUCGCAGAAUAAGCACCGGCUAACUCUGUGCCAGCAGCCGCGGUAAUACAGAGGGUGCAAGCGUUAAUCGGAUUUACUGGGCGUAAAGCGCGCGUAGGUGGCCAAUUAAGUCAAAUGUGAAAUCCCCGAGCUUAACUUGGGAAUUGCAUUCGAUACUGGUUGGCUAGAGUAUGGGAGAGGAUGGUAGAAUUCCAGGUGUAGCGGUGAAAUGCGUGGAGAUCUGGAGGAAUACCGAUGGCGAAGGCAGCCAUCUGGCCUAAUACUGACGCUGAGGUACGAAAGCAUGGGGAGCAAACAGGAUUAGAUACCCCUGUAGUCC